AUACCAUACAUCGUAUUUUAGCCUUCAAAUGUGAUAAGAAAAUUAUAUCACUGCACAACACUCUACAAAACCUACAAUUUAUUGCAUUGAGUGAGCAAAUAAAGAACAGAUAUGUUAUCCCGCCAACUCGAUUUGAUCUCCGAUGCACAAACAUGCACCGUUUGCAGUUAAGUUUAUUUCAAGCAUGGGGCACCCAAAGGAUUGCAGGCACCACAGGUGUUAAGAGUUUCAUUAAUUAAGUAACCGCGUUUCUUUGUCAAGACAUUUUCUUUCGUCUGAGAAGACUUCAUUAGAAACUGUUGGAAUAUAUAAUUUACUUCGUUACUUAUGUUUGUUGAAUAAGAUGUCGACCUAAUAAACAUUAUACUUAUCCUUUUGGUCGGGAGAUACGGUGUAAUUUAUCAAAGGGACUAUAUUUUCAAUGCGCAAUGACAGAUGAUAUAACAAGAAAUGGUACGAAACCACCAACUAGAUGGCACAGAUAGUCUACGACCUCCAGACGAACAAACAGUUCAUAAAACAGGCAGUUGGUAUCAGGAAGGUUGUGCUUCCGAAGGAAAAUUGGGCUAUCGCUUACUUAUGUUUUUGAGGCAUCCGCAGAUCCAAUUUACAACAUCAAGAGCGGGGGACGUUUGAAGUUGAAUGGUGCAUCACCGGCAAUGAUGUAGAAAACCCAAGCAUCCUCUUCAAGCCGUCUGGGUUACGGCAAUGAUGAUAUCUUCAAAACCUUCAUGACCGUUUCAACACUUACACUCAUUAUAAAACUAAUUAUACUUACUGUCAUAUAUAAAUAAAGCUUUAUUUAAAAUGUA
Molecule: long non-coding RNA, 812 nt
Organism: Saccostrea echinata
Lineage: Eukaryota; Metazoa; Mollusca; Bivalvia; Ostreida; Ostreidae
Exons: 2
Source: RefSeq, a predicted model, not a curated record